Molecule: ribosomal RNA, 392 nt
Filed under: Smicronyx fulvus (red sunflower seed weevil)
Lineage: Eukaryota; Metazoa; Arthropoda; Insecta; Coleoptera; Curculionidae
Description: partial 16S ribosomal RNA
Source: RNAcentral
AAAUUUUAAAUGGCCGCAGUAUUUUGACUGUGCAAAGGUAGCAUAAUCAUUAGUUUCUUAAUUAGAAGCUUGUAUGAAAGGUUGAAUGAGAAAGUUACUGUCUCUAUUUAAAUUUAUUAGAAUUUUAUAUUUAAGUAAAAAAGCUUAAAUACAUAUAGAAGACGAGAAGACCCUAUAGAGUUUGAUAUUAUUAUUAUUUAUAUCUUUUAGUAUUAUAAUUAUAUAAUUAGUUAUAUAUUUGAUUGGGGUGAUUAAAAAAUUUAUUGAACUUUUUUUGUAUUAUUUCAUUAAUUUAUGAAUUAUUGAUCCUUAAUUUAAGAUUAAAAGAAUAAAUUACCUUAGGGAUAACAGCGUAAUUUUUUUUAAGAGUUCUAAUCAAAAAAAAAGUUUGC